GUCUUUUCAGUCGGGCGCUGAGUGGUUUUUCGGAUCAUGUCUGGUGGCUCCGCGGAUUAUAACAGAGAACAUGGCGGCCCAGAGGGAAUGGACCCCGAUGGUGUCAUCGAGGUAAGAAACGGUUGUGGAUCUUGAAGCUUUGGAAAGGUGAGUGUGUUCAUCUCAUUUAUGCGUGCAUUAUUUUUUCUAACUUACAGAGCAACUGGAAUGAGAUUGUUGAUAACUUUGAUGAUAUGAAUUUAAAGGAGUCUCUCCUUCGUGGCAUCUAUGCUUACGGUUUUGAGAAGCCUUCCGCUAUUCAGCAGAGAGCUAUUAUUCCCUGUAUUAAAGGUAAAAGAAACUGGCAUUUUUAGGAAAUUGUUCUACAUAGACAUGAACCAUAAAAGGGAAAGUAACCUCUGGGGGACUAGCACCUGUUUGUAUUCCUUAAAGUGAAAUGAUGGCAAUCAUCUUUCGGGACUGACCUGAAAUGAAGAGAAUACUCAUUGCUGAUCACUUGAUUAUUUGGGCAUAAUUAAUGUUCCAAAUGGAAUACAUGGUGUGAAGUAGAAGUGACAAUUUGAUGUGGGAUCGGUAAAUGUGUAUCCUACUUUUUUUAGGGUAUGAUGUGAUUGCUCAAGCUCAGUCAGGUACUGGCAAGACAGCCACAUUUGCUAUUUCCAUCCUGCAACAGUUGGAGA
Molecule: small RNA, 680 nt
Filed under: Pan troglodytes (chimpanzee)
Lineage: Eukaryota; Metazoa; Chordata; Mammalia; Primates; Hominidae
Description: retained intron
Rfam family: Small nucleolar RNA SNORD2 (bases 430-498)
Source: RNAcentral